UUUUCGGAGAGUUUGAUCCUGGCUCAGGACGAACGCUGGCGGCGUGCCUAAUACAUGCAAGUCGAGCGAACAGAAGGGAGCUUGCUCCCGGAUGUUAGCGGCGGACGGGUGAGUAACACGUGGGUAACCUACCUGUAAGACUGGGAUAACUCCGGGAAACCGGAGCUAAUACCGGAUAGUUCCUUGAACCGCAUGGUUCAAGGAUGAAAGACGGUUUCGGCUGUCACUUACAGAUGGACCCGCGGCGCAUUAGCUAGU
Molecule: ribosomal RNA, 258 nt
Filed under: Bacillus pumilus
Lineage: Bacteria; Bacillati; Bacillota; Bacilli; Caryophanales; Bacillaceae
Description: partial 16S ribosomal RNA
Rfam family: Bacterial small subunit ribosomal RNA
Source: RNAcentral